This 77-nucleotide transfer RNA is filed under the name Porcellionides pruinosus. RNAcentral's name for it is "tRNA-Ala". Lineage: Eukaryota; Metazoa; Arthropoda; Malacostraca; Isopoda; Porcellionidae. The record is from RNAcentral.
UAACCCUAUAGUUUAUAGAAAAUUGAUGAUUUGCAUUCAGAGGAAGGGUAUCUAGCUUAGACUAGAGAAGAAUAUUA